UAAUACUGGAUAGGCAAUUAUUCCUGUAAUGGUUUUUUGUUUAAAUGUUUUUUCGCCUAAGGAUGGGUCUGCGGCCGAUUAGGUAGUUGGUUAGGUAAUGGCUUACCAAGCCUUUGAUCGGUACGGGUUGUGAGAGCAAGAGCCCGGAGAUGGAACCUGAGACAAGGUUCCAGGCCCUACGGGGUGCAGCAGGCGCGAAACCUCCGCAAUGUGAGAAAUCGCGACGGGGGGAUCCCAAGUGCCAUUCUUAACGGGAUGGCUUUUCUUUAGUGUAAAAAGCUUUUGGAAUAAGAGCUGGGCAAGACCGGUGCCAGCCGCCGCGGUAACACCGGCAGCUCUAGUGGUAGCAAUUUUUAUUGGGCCUAAAGCGUCCGUAGCCGGUUUAAUAAGUCUCUGGUGAAAUCCUGUAGCUUAACUGUGGGAAUUGCUGGAGAUACUAUUAGACUUGAGACCGGGAGAGGUUAGAGGUACUCCCAGGGUAAAGGUGAAAUUCUGUAAUCCUGGGAGGACCGCCUGUUGCGAAGGCGUCUAACUGGAACGGUUCUGACGGUGAGGGACGAAAGUUAAGGGCGCGAACCGGAUUAGAUACCCGGGUAGUCCUAACUGUAAACGAUGCGGACUUGGUGU
Molecule: ribosomal RNA, 627 nt
Filed under: uncultured archaeon
Lineage: Archaea
Description: bacterial SSU rRNA
Rfam family: Archaeal small subunit ribosomal RNA
Source: RNAcentral